CUGAGCCUCGCAGGUGCCCUUUCUCCACCGUCGCUGCAACCUCCACUCUAACAUUUUACCUCUCCUAGCUACCACUAUCUCCCUCUCCGCCUUCCAAUCCUCCGCCCACUUUUUCUAUCCUUCUCCGCUCCCGCCACCCCUCCACCCAUCACCUCGCCAAUCGCAAGACCUACGCAUCCAAUUUUUUUCUCUUUGUCUCCACACUUACUUCUGCUGCUCCACCAUUGCGGUUGCAGUCACCUUUAUUCCUCUCAUCCUUACUUUUUGGGUUCUUUCCUUCAGCUCUUUUGCUUUCCCCAAAUUUUAGAAAUACUUAGGGCUUGUAAAAGGUGCCACCUCAAAAUCCGUCUGCCAGUGGAAGAUACUGUCUUGCGUGAAAUUGUGAACACUACUCCGAAAUUGUGAACAUCUUGCGUGAAAUUUAUCCUUUCGCAAAACUUCCAGAGAAGAUUGUCUUGGAGCGUUAGACGGUACUUAUGUAAGUACAUGUUCUUCUUAGAGACCAAGGAAGGUACAGAAAUAGGAAGAAUGAGAUAGCAACAAAUGUUUUAGGUGUAUGCUCCCGUGACAUGAGAUUUACAUAUGUAUUGUCUGGAUGGGAAGGUUCUGCAGUAGAUAGCAGUUUUACAUGCUGCGUUAGGUAGAUCAGAUCCAUUAAUUGUUCCCAAGGGUAUGUGAUAAUUAGACUUAUCGAGUGUUUUUUUUCAAUUAUAAAUGAGUAACAAUUUGUUGUCUAACAUUAUAGGCAAGU
Long non-coding RNA from Coffea eugenioides, 751 nucleotides. RefSeq lists it as uncharacterized. The transcript is spliced from 3 exons. The record is from RefSeq and is a predicted model, not a curated record. NCBI's taxonomy places the organism in Eukaryota, Viridiplantae, Streptophyta, Magnoliopsida, Gentianales, Rubiaceae.